GAUAGCUGGUUCUCCCCGAAAUAGCUUUAGGGCUAGCCUCAGGCAGUAAGUAUAGGCGGUAGAGCACUGAUCGGGCUAGGGGCCGUAAAGGUUACCGAACCCUGUCAAACUCCGAAUGGAUAUACUGCAGAGCCUGGGAGUCAGACUACGAGUGAUAAGAUCCGUGGUCAAAAGGGAAACAGCCCAGACCACCAGCUAAGGUCCCCAAUGCCGUACUAAGUGGAGAAGGAUGUGGGGUCUCUAAAACAACCAGGAUGUUGGCUUAGAAGCAGCCACCAUUUAAAGAGUGCGUAAUAGCUCACUGGUCGAGAGACCCUGCGCCGAAGAUUACCGGGGCUAAAGUACGGAACCGAAGCUGUGGCUACGACUUAGGUCGUGGGGUAGGGGAGCGUUCUCUGAGGGCUGAAGUCGUUCUGGAAGGAACGGUGGACUUCAGAGAAGUGAGAAUGUUGGUAUGAGUAGCGAAAAGAAAGGUGAGAAUCCUUUCCACCGAAAGCAUAAGGAUUCCUGGGCAACGAUCGUCGUCCCAGGGUAAGUCGGGACCUAAUCCGAGGCAGAGAGCGUAGGAGAUGGACAACUGGCAGAUAUUCCAGUACCGGUAAUGAUUGUUUGAGCGAAGGAGUGACACAGGAGGGCAGGCAGGCAGGAGAUUGGUAGUUCCUGUACAAGCGUGUAGGAUGGGUUACAGGCAAAUCCGUAACCUGAAAGUCUGAGGCGUGAUGUGGAGAGAGUAGAGAUACUCUUGAAGCUGUUGACCCCACACUGUCGAGAAAAGCUUCUAGUGAGAAAGUUACCGCCCGUACCGUAAACCGACACAGGUAUGCGGGGAGAGAAUCCUAAGGUGCGCGGGAGAACCCUCGUUAAGGAACUCGGCAAAAUGUACCCGUAACUUCGGGAUAAGGGUAGCCGGCAUUGUGAAGUCCCAUGCGGAUGGAGCAUAGACCGGUCGCAGAGAAGAGGCCCAAGCGACUGUUUACCACAAACACAGGUGCCUGCUAAAGAGAAAUCUGACGUAUAGGUGCUGACACCUGCCCAGUGCCGGAAGGUUAAGGAAGGAUGUCCGGAUAAUACCAAAGCAUUCGACCGAAGCCCCGGUGAACGGCGGCCGUAACUAUAACGGUCCUAAGGUAGCGAAAUUCCUUGUCGGGUAAGUUCCGACCCGCACGAAAGGUGUAACGACUUGGGCACUGUCUCAACGAGGGACCCGGUGAAAUUGAAGUACCUGUGAAGAUGCAGGUUACCCGCGACUGGACAGAAAGACCCCAUGGAGCUUUACUGUAACCUGACAUUGGGUUCUGAUACAUUACGUACAGGAUAGGUGGGAGGCAUGGAAGCGAGGACGCAAGUCUUCGUGGAGCCGACGUUGGGAUACCACCCUUGAUGUAUCGGAAUUCUAACCGUAGGAGUAACGAAACUCGGGACAGUGUCAGGCGGGCAGUUUGACUGGGGCGGUCGCCUCCCAAAGAGUAACGGAGGCGCCCAAAGGUUCCCUCAGCGCGGCCGGAAAUCGCGCGAAGAGUGUAAAGGCAGAAGGGAGCUUGACUGAGAGCCAAACACGGCAAUCAGGUACGAAAGUAGGGCUUAGUGAUCCGGUGGCAUCCAAGUGGAAGGGCCAUCGCUCAACGGAUAAAAGCUACCCUGGG
This 1643-nucleotide ribosomal RNA is filed under the name human gut metagenome. Its description in RNAcentral is "bacterial LSU rRNA". It matches the Rfam family "Bacterial large subunit ribosomal RNA", at positions 844 to 2472 of the family's 2925-position model. The record is from RNAcentral.